UAGUGAAUAUAGGACGUCCAACUUAACUUGGAGUCCGAACUCUCACUUUCUAACCCUGUGCACUUGUUUGGGAUAGUAACUCUCGCAAGAGAGCGAACUCCUAUUCACUUAUAAACACAAAGUCUAUGAAUGUAUUAAAUUUUAUAACAAAAUAAAACUUUCAACAACGGAUCUCUUGGCUCUCGCAUCGAUGAAGAACGCAGCGAAAUGCGAUAAGUAAUGUGAAUUGCAGAAUUCAGUGAAUCAUCGAAUCUUUGAACGCACCUUGCGCUCCAUGGUAUUCCGUGGAGCAUGCCUGUUUGAGUGUCAUGAAUACUUCAACCCUCCUCUUUCUUAAUGAUUGAAGAGGUGUUUGGUUUCUGAGCGCUGCUGGCCUUUACGGUCUAGCUCGUUCGUAAUGCAUUAGCAUCCGCAAUCGAACUUCGGAUUGACUUGGCGUAAUAGACUAUUCGCUGAGGAAUUCUAGUCUUCGGAUUAGAGCCGGGUUGGGUUAAAGGAAGCUUCUAAUCAGAAUGUCUACAUUUUAAGAUUAGAUCUCAAAUCAGGUAGGACUACCCGCUGAACUUAAGCAUAUCAAUAAGCGGAGGAAAAGAAACUAACAAGGAUUCCCCUAGUAGCGGCGAGCGAAGCGGGAAGAGCUCAAAUUUAUAAUCUGGCACCUUCGGUGUCCGAGUUGUAAUCUCUAGAAAUGUUUUCCGCGUUGGACCGCACACAAGUCUGUUGGAAUACAGCGGCAUAGUGGUGAGACCCCCGUAUAUGGUGCGGACGCCCAGCGCUUUGUGAUACAUUUUCGAAGAGUCGAGUUGUUUGGGAAUGCAGCUCAAAUUGGGUGGUAAAUUCCAUCUAAAGCUAAAUAUUGGCGAGAGACCGAUAGCGAACAAGUACCGUGAGGGAAAGAUGAAAAGCACUUUGGAAAGAGAGUUAACAGUACGUGAAAUUGUUGGAAGGGAAACGCUUGAAGUCAGACUUGCUUGCCGAGCAAUCGGUUUGCAGGCCAGCAUCAGUUUUCCGGGAUGGAUAAUGGUAGAGAGAAGGUAGCAGUUUCGGCUGUGUUAUAGCUCUCUGCUGGAUACAUCUUGGGGGACUGAGGAACGCAGUGUGCCUUUGGCGGGGGUUUCGAC
RNAcentral lists this ribosomal RNA (1121 nucleotides) under Rhodotorula mucilaginosa. RNAcentral describes it as "eukaryotic LSU rRNA". The stretch from base 532 to 1121 matches the Rfam family "Eukaryotic large subunit ribosomal RNA", at positions 1 to 587 of the family's 3401-position model. The record is from RNAcentral. Lineage: Eukaryota; Fungi; Basidiomycota; Microbotryomycetes; Sporidiobolales; Sporidiobolaceae.